AUUAAAAUAGACUAGAGUAGUAAAAUUAAAUCUUUAUUUCAGAGAGCUAGUGGAAGGUGUGAACUAGUAUAAAGCUAAUUUGAACUUGCUAGAUAAAAUCUAUUUGACCGUGGUUGGUAUAAAGACUAGUACAAGAGGGUUAUUUAUAAAAUAACCAAUUAGGGUGGUACCGCGAGUAAUAUCCUCGUCCCUAAA
RNAcentral lists this non-coding RNA (195 nucleotides) under Paraclostridium sordellii. RNAcentral's name for it is "Clostridium sordellii T-box sequence". It matches the Rfam family "T-box leader". Rfam says of the family: Uncharged tRNA acts as the effector for transcription antitermination of genes in the T-box leader family. The record is from RNAcentral. Lineage: Bacteria; Bacillati; Bacillota; Clostridia; Peptostreptococcales; Peptostreptococcaceae.